This 252-nucleotide ribosomal RNA is filed under the name uncultured bacterium. RNAcentral describes it as "partial 16S ribosomal RNA". It matches the Rfam family "Bacterial small subunit ribosomal RNA", at positions 524 to 776 of the family's 1533-position model. The record is from RNAcentral.
UACGUAGGGUGCGAGCGUUGUCCGGAAUUAUUGGGCGUAAAGAGCUCGUAGGCGGUUUGUCGCGUCUGCUGUGAAAACUGGAGGCUCAACCUCCAGCCUGCAGUGGGUACGGGCAGACUAGAGUGCGGUAGGGGAGAUUGGAAUCCUGGUGUAGCGGUGGAAUGCGCAGAUAUCAGGAGGAACACCGAUGGCGAAGGCAGAUCUCUGGGCCAUUACUGACGCUGAGGAGCGAAAGCAUGGGGAGCGAACAGG